UCGAGAAUAUUGCACAAUGGGCGAAAGCCUGAUGCAGCGACGUCGCGUGUGGGAUUAAGAUCUUCGGAUUGUAAACCACUUUUCUAUGGGAAGAAUUUUCUGACUGUACCAUAGGAAUAAGGGGUGACUAAACUCGUGCCAGCAGUAGCGGUAAUACGAGUGCCCCAAGCGUUAUCCGGAUUAACUGGGCGUAAAGGGUCUGUAGGCUGUUUAUUAAGUUCUUCGUUAAAUCUCCAGGGCUCAACCUUGGAGCUGCGGAGAAAACUGGUAAACUAGAGGAUGUUAGAGGUUGAUGGAACACUUGGUGGAGGGGUGAAAUCCGUUGAUAUCAAGUGGAACACCAAAAGCGAAGGCAAUCAACUGGGACAGUCCUGACGCUGAAAGCGAAAGCAUGGGGAUA
RNAcentral lists this ribosomal RNA (400 nucleotides) under uncultured bacterium. RNAcentral describes it as "bacterial SSU rRNA". It matches the Rfam family "Bacterial small subunit ribosomal RNA", at positions 355 to 769 of the family's 1533-position model. The record is from RNAcentral.